This 99-nucleotide signal recognition particle RNA is filed under the name Borrelia recurrentis. RNAcentral's name for it is "signal recognition particle sRNA small type". It matches the Rfam family "Bacterial small signal recognition particle RNA". From Rfam's summary of the family: The signal recognition particle (SRP) is a universally conserved ribonucleoprotein involved in the co-translational targeting of proteins to membranes. Archaeal SRP consists of a 7S RNA and homologues of the eukaryotic SRP19 and SRP54 proteins. The record is from RNAcentral. Lineage: Bacteria; Pseudomonadati; Spirochaetota; Spirochaetia; Spirochaetales; Borreliaceae. RNAcentral also lists the same sequence under 2 other names.
UCCUAGGAUCCGCACUAUUGAGUGUUGCCUAAUCCCGUCAGGACUGGAAGGUAGCAGCGGUAAGUGAUUACUCAAUGAGUGCGUGUAAUCUUAGGAUAA